GGUCAAGAAGAGAAGCGCAAACGGUGGAUGCCUUGGCAGUAAGAGGCGAAGAAGGACGUGGAAUCCUGCGAAAAGCUAUGGGGAGCUGGAAACGAGCGAUGAGCCAUAGAUGUCCGAAUGGGGGAACCCGGCUGCAGCGAU
This 141-nucleotide ribosomal RNA is filed under the name Legionella pneumophila. Its description in RNAcentral is "partial 23S ribosomal RNA". It matches the Rfam family "Bacterial large subunit ribosomal RNA", at positions 1 to 141 of the family's 2925-position model. The record is from RNAcentral. Lineage: Bacteria; Pseudomonadati; Pseudomonadota; Gammaproteobacteria; Legionellales; Legionellaceae.